This 465-nucleotide ribosomal RNA is filed under the name uncultured bacterium. Its description in RNAcentral is "bacterial SSU rRNA". It matches the Rfam family "Bacterial small subunit ribosomal RNA", at positions 331 to 794 of the family's 1533-position model. The record is from RNAcentral.
CCAGACUCCUACGGGAGGCAGCAGUGAGGAAUAUUGGUCAAUGGACGGAAGUCUGAACCAGCCAUGCCGCGUGCAGGAAGACGGCUCUAUGAGUUGUAAACUGCUUUUGUACAAGGGUAAACCUGAAUACGUGUAUUCAGCUGAAAGUACUGUACGAAUAAGGAUCGGCUAACUCCGUGCCAGCAGCCGCGGUAAUACGGAGGAUGCGAGCGUUAUCCGGAUUUAUUGGGUUUAAAGGGUGCGCAGGCGGGCUGUUAAGCCGGCGGUAAAAAUUCAGGGCUCAACCCUGUCGAGCCGUCGGAACUGGCAGUCUUGAGUGGGCGAGAAGUAUGCGGAAUGCGUGGCGUAGCGGUGAAAUGCAUAGAUAUCACGCAGAACGCCGAUUGCGAAGGCAGCAUACCGGCGCCCAACUGACGCUGAGGCACGAAAGCGUGGGGAUCGAACAGGAUUAGAUACCCCCGUACA